Molecule: ribosomal RNA, 519 nt
Filed under: Microhyla mymensinghensis
Lineage: Eukaryota; Metazoa; Chordata; Amphibia; Anura; Microhylidae
Description: partial 16S ribosomal RNA
Rfam family: Bacterial large subunit ribosomal RNA
Source: RNAcentral
AGCCUGCCCAGUGACUAAGUUAAACGGCCGCGGUACCCUAACCGUGCAAAGGUAGCGCAAUCACUUGUUCUUUAAAUGAGGACUAGUAUGAACGGCAUCACGAGGGUUAUGCUGUCUCCCUAUUCUAUUCAGUGAAACUGAUCUCCCCGUGAAGAAGCGGGGAUAAAAAUAUAAGACGAAAAGACCCCAUGGAGCUUUAAACUCAGUACCAACUGCCCAAUAAAAACCUUUUACCCCAUGCAGCUAUGGUUACUAGUUUUCGGUUGGGGUGACCACGGAGUAAAAAUCAACCUCCACGAUGAAAGAAACUAACAACCUAACCUAUGAGCUACAGCUCUAAGUAUCAAUAAAUUGACUAAUUGAUCCAAUUACUUGAUCAACGAACCUAGUUACCCUGGGGAUAACAGCGCAAUCCAUUUCAAGAGCUCAUAUCGACAAAUGGGUUUACGACCUCGAUGUUGGAUCAGGGUAUCCCAGUGGCGCAGCCGCUACUAAAGGUUCGUUUGUUCAACGAUUAAA